This 295-nucleotide long non-coding RNA is filed under the name Mytilus galloprovincialis (Mediterranean mussel). The record is from RNAcentral. Lineage: Eukaryota; Metazoa; Mollusca; Bivalvia; Mytilida; Mytilidae.
CUUUAAGGUAGAUGGGGUGUCUAAAUUAUAAUCCAUAGAAUCUUUUAAUAAUUUGCCAAAAUGUAGUUCAUAUCCUGCUUGUUUAAAAACAUUAAUAAAAAGAAUGGGUCACCGGACUUAUUUUCACGCUACAGGUUCUUCAAAAUUGUCAAGAUUUUGUAUAGAUUAUGCAUGGAAAACCCAUUUUUCCGCCAUAAAACGCAAACCACACCAUAGAAUUUAGAGAUAAAAAAUGAGAAGAUAGCUUCAAUAUUAUACUUUCAGAUAAGAUAAAGAAAAAAUGGGGUCACCGGAC